AAUGGGGAAACCCAGUGUGUUUCGACACACUAUCAUUAACUGAAUCCAUAGGUUAAUGAGGCGAACCGGGGGAACUGAAACAUCUAAGUACCCCGAGGAAAAGAAAUCAACCGAGAUUCCCCCAGUAGCGGCGAGCGAACGGGGAGGAGCCCAGAGCCUGAAUCAGUGUGUGUGUUAGUGGAAGCGUCUGGAAAGGCGCGCGAUACAGGGUGACAGCCCCGUACACAAAAAUGCACAUAUUGUGAGCUCGAUGAGUAGGGCGGGACACGUGGUAUCCUGUCUGAAUAUGGGGGGACCAUCCUCCAAGGCUAAAUACUCCUGACUGACCGAUAGUGAACCAGUACCGUGAGGGAAAGGCGAAAAGAACCCCGGCGAGGGGAGUGAAAAAGAACCUGAAACCGUGUACGUACAAGCAGUGGGAGCCUCUUAAUGGGGUGACUGCGUACCUUUUGUAUAAUGGGUCAGCGACUUAUAUUCUGUAGCAAGGUUAACCGAAUAGGGGAGCCGAAGGGAAACCGAGUCUUAACUGGGCGUUAAGUUGCAGGGUAUAGACCCGAAACCCGGUGAUCUAGCCAUGGGCAGGUUGAAGGUUGGGUAACACUAACUGGAGGACCGAACCGACUAAUGUUGAAAAAUUAGCGGAUGACUUGUGGCUGGGGGUGAAAGGCCAAUCAAACCGGGAGAUAGCUGGUUCUCCCCGAAAGCUAUUUAGGUAGCGCCUCGUGAAUUCAUCUCCGGGGGUAGAGCACUGUUUCGGCAAGGGGGUCAUCCCGACUUACCAACCCGAUGCAAACUGCGAAUACCGGAGAAUGUUAUCACGGGAGACACACGGCGGGUGCUAACGUCCGUCGUGAAGAGGGAAACAACCCAGACCGCCAGCUAAGGUCCCAAAGUCAUGGUUAAGUGGGAAACGAUGUGGGAAGGCCCAGACAGCCAGGAUGUUGGCUUAGAAGCAGCCAUCAUUUAAAGAAAGCGUAAUAGCUCACUGGUCGAGUCGGCCUGCGCGGAAGAUGUAACGGGGCUAAACCAUGCACCGAAGCUGCGGCAGCGACACUAUGUGUUGUUGGGUAGGGGAGCGUUCUGUAAGCCUGUGAAGGUGGCCUGUGAGGGUUGCUGGAGGUAUCAGAAGUGCGAAUGCUGACAUAAGUAAC
This 1151-nucleotide ribosomal RNA is filed under the name Escherichia coli. RNAcentral describes it as "partial 23S ribosomal RNA". It matches the Rfam family "Bacterial large subunit ribosomal RNA", at positions 117 to 1310 of the family's 2925-position model. The record is from RNAcentral. Lineage: Bacteria; Pseudomonadati; Pseudomonadota; Gammaproteobacteria; Enterobacterales; Enterobacteriaceae.